UAAUAGAUUGGUGAUGAGGCUCACCACAAUGCAUUUAUGCUGAUGGCUUCUACUUUAAG
This 59-nucleotide non-coding RNA is filed under the name Clostridium sp. RNAcentral's name for it is "Fluoride sequence". It matches the Rfam family "Fluoride riboswitch aptamer (crcB RNA motif)". Lineage: Bacteria; Bacillati; Bacillota; Clostridia; Eubacteriales; Clostridiaceae. The record is from RNAcentral. RNAcentral also lists the same sequence under 1 other name.